This 2147-nucleotide long non-coding RNA is filed under the name Equus asinus (donkey). RNAcentral's name for it is "lncRNA (ENSEASG00005025690.1)". Lineage: Eukaryota; Metazoa; Chordata; Mammalia; Perissodactyla; Equidae. The record is from RNAcentral.
CGAAAGGACACAGUUGGGACUUCUGCGGGACCCCUGCAGAAAGAGUGUGAAUGCUUCCUUCUGAGGCACUGCCUGACCUUGAAUUAUCUUCGGAAUUGGCAAGGAAAGGCCAUGUUCUAUUCACCCUGGUUUUAGUUUUAAGUGUAUCUUACUUAAUAUUUUCAAUAUGAGUCAGCUCCAUGUACUGUGAUGAUUUUUCAAAUAACCAGAAGUUGACUGUAGCUGGCUUUAGACAGGAAGCGUGAGUACAGAAUCCAGCUGCUUCCACCCUGGGAGCAAGUCUGGGCCGGUAGUCCUGGAUUUUCUGGCCUGAGGCCUCAGCCUCCUGGAUUACACAAGCAGAACCCUCCUGGGUCCUGCUCUUCCUGACUCUCCUCUCCUGAUGGGAGCAAGGGGCUCCCCUGUCCUGGAUGCACUCCUUGAAGCAGCUGCUCUGCCUGAUCCGCCUGCCUGGGAGUCCUGGACCACAAGUGAGGUGGCAUUUCUCUGAGCACUUAAGAAGAUGACUCACCCAGAGAGGCGGACUGGGCUGGUCUCCCGCCUUGGAAAACCCUGGUGUCUGCCCUGCUGAGGCUCCGAGUUGACACUUGCGUGGCUGCGACCCUCAGCCGCGGGACAAGCGAUGACGACGUUGGAAUUGCAGGAUCUUGCUUGCAAAAGUCAUGGCGCCAACUCAAGGGCUGCAAGCCCCAACAGCUUCAGAGCCAGGCUUCAAGAAUAAGCCAGACUUGAAUAUCAAAGUCCCAAGGAAUGAAAUGAAGCCUAAGCUACCAAGCACAUCAAAUGACAGCAUUUCAUGUCAUUUUUACAGCUUUACGAAGCUGCGAGGAACAGAGAGCUGUUGACUGCCAGCAACGUGAAGUGCACCAGACGCUGUGGACGAGGAGGAGAUUCAAGGACACUAAGUCCGGGCCAGGUCCCAAGAUGCCUUUCUCUAAUCGCUCAAGAGUUAACUGCCACCUUGAAUUACCUUGGAACGUACGGGGAGGAGCUGUUCUCGUCCUUCUCUGCCCUCCAAUGUUCAUCUAUACUCUGAGUGAAACAAAACAGAACAUGUGGCCAAAGGGGAGCCCUUGCGAGAAAAAGGCAGGGAAGGAGCAGACACAAACUCAUGCCGAGCUUGGGAAUUGCAGCCCUAUGGCCUGUAUCCUGGGAAAUACAGCCUGGCUCCCUGUCGGACCCACAUGGACUCAAAUUUCCCAGUUACCAUUUAAGAGCUGCCUGAUCUUGGGCUAGUCAUUUGACCCUGCUCAGCCUCAGUGUCCUCAGCAGCAUAUCUACUUCCUUGGGUCGCCAUCAAGAUGGAAUGAGAUAUCGUGUACAAAGGGCCAGCGCGUCACAAGCCCCCCACGUGGAAGUAGAUGAUGCUACAGCCCAUGAACCCUUCUGCCCUCACAGAGCUUUCACCUGUUUGCAAGUUGACACUCUCCUCCGAAGCCUGCCUUUUCAAAAUAAGGGAGAUGUCCCACCCCUGGGGUUCUUUGUGAUUCUCAGAGCUUUCUUUUUCACCCAGUUAGGGAAAACUAACUUUUGUACCCAACAUUACAUCAAUGACAUUGCUUUAUCUAUGUAUUUGUUUUAUGGUGCUUUUGGCGUCCUCAUUAAGAAAUCUUUGCCUCUGCCAAGAUCAUGAAGAUAGUCUCCUAUGAUUUCUCCUAGAAGUUGACUUGUUUUACCUUUCACAUUUAAUUCUGCCAUCUACCUGGAACUGAUUUUUAACGACACUAUUUCAAAUACUAAUUUGGUUUUUGAAUAUAAUUUGCAUAUUAAUUUGGUAGUAUUUGUCCUAAAUUUUCUUUUUUGUUUUUAAAUAAAAAACCAGGAAUUUAGACAGUACUAAUUUUCUGGAUGGAAAAAAGAAUUUAUAAACUCUAAAAUUAUACUAUUGCCCGAUUUUAACUUUAGGAUAGUCAAAAUAUCAGAAAACAACUUUUCCAUUUUGUGAGGCCGAAUGAAAGUCAAUUUGCUGUAAGUAUUGAUUACAUACAUAGAGAAUGCUUGUAUGAGGUAAAUGAAUCAUGGUGACUACUUAAGACACUGAGACUGGUUUAAGGAAGGAGUCAUUCAUUCAAGAACAUUUUACUGAUAUUUAUAUUAUAAAUACAAACUUGCAAUAAGUAUAUUUGUAUAAAAUAUUUAUACUUGUC